RNAcentral lists this ribosomal RNA (465 nucleotides) under uncultured bacterium. Its description in RNAcentral is "partial 16S ribosomal RNA". It matches the Rfam family "Bacterial small subunit ribosomal RNA", at positions 28 to 507 of the family's 1533-position model. The record is from RNAcentral.
GACGAACGCUGGCGGCGUGCUUAACACAUGCAAGUCGAACGGAAAGGCCCUGCUUGCAGGGUACUCGAGUGGCGAACGGGUGAGUAACACGUGGGUGAUCUGCCCUGCACUUCGGGAUAAGCCUGGUAAACUGGGUCUAAUACCGGAUAGGAGCCAUUUUUAGUGUGAUGGUUGGAAAGUUUUUUCGGUGUAGGAUGAGCUCGCGGCCUAUCAGCUUGUUGGUGGGGUAAUGGCCUACCAAGGCGGCGACGGGUAGCCGGCCUGAGAGGGUGGACGGCCACAUUGGGACUGAGAGACGGCCCAGACUCCUACGGGAGGCAGCAGUGGGGAAUAUUGCACAAGGGGCGCAAGCCUGAUGCAGCGACGCCGCGUGGGGGAUGACGGCCUUCGGGUUGUAAACUCCUUUCGCUAGGGACGAAGCUUUUUGUGACGGUACCUAGAUAAGAAGCACCGGCUAACUACGUG